GGGUCGGGGGGACUGGGAGGAACUGGGAGGAACUGGGAGGAACUGGGAGUUGGGGGGGGCAGCAGGGGAAUAGGGGGGCUGAGGUCGUACAAGGAGGUGUUGGGGCGGUAGGCUGUACUGGAUGAACGGGAGAUAUUGGGGAGGGCACGGGAGAUAUUGGGGAGGGGCACGGGGGGAUAUUGGGGAGGGACACCGAAGGUUACAGGGGAUCGCUGGAGCGCACCGGGAAGAGCCGGGCUGCGCUCGGGUUCCUUCGGACGUUUCCGGCGUCGCUCGGGAACUUCCGGCCUCGCUCGGCUCGGCUCGGCUCCUCUCGGCCGCGGCAUGGCCCCGCCGGCGGGGGACGUGUCCCGGGAGCUGCAAGCAUCCGCCGGGCCCUGGGGCGGCCCCGCAUCCACCUGCUGCUGCGUGCCCGCCUGGAGACCAAACCCCGUCGGCUGGAGGAGAGGAUCUUGGCCCUCACUGCCUGGCGCCUGCACCUCUUCGGCCCCACAAUACCGGCCAAGGUGAGCCCUUGCACGGGAAUUUGCACGAGUAAAUGUGCUCAAUUUUCACAUGGUUUGGCACGGGGAUUUACAGAAUGAUUUGCAUAUGGAUGUGCAGAGGGAUCUGAAUGCGUCCAUCCCCCAGCAAAACCCAUUGCAUGAGAAACCACAUGAGGAUUUGCAUGAGCCUGUUCCCUAGCACAAGCGUUUUAUGAGCAUUUGCACAAGGAUUCUCAGAAGCAACUGUUUGCACAAGUCUGCCUUUUUGCACAAACACUCACAUGAAGGCUUAGAUGGGAAUUCGCACAAUAAUUUGCACAAGGAUUUGCACAAAUAUAUGCACGAGGGUUUGCAUGGAGUCCAUCCUCUUGCAGAAGGGUUUUCAUACUGCUGAGCUCUUUCAUAUCUGUUUGCACAAAGAUUUCCAUGAGAAAUUGCACGUGGAUUUGCAUGCCCAUCUGUGUGUCCAUGUGCACAAAGAUUGCUGUUUGUUGCCAGGCUGAAGGUUCUUUGAGCGUGCUGGAGAUUCGCUGCAUCAGUGCCACCAGCCCCACCCAGGUACCCACCACCUCCCAGUGCAGACCAGUAUGGGCCAGUGUGGACUGGUGACCCUCAACUGCUUGCCCAGAAUCACGCCAAGCCUCUCAGUGUGCCCAGUGCCCUUCCAGUGACUGCCAGUACCCCCCUAGUGAUCUCCUUAAGUCAUUCCUUUACCUUAUAAUAGGUAAAGGUCCAUACCUUACCAGUAUGGACCAGUAUGGAUCAGUAUGGACUAGUGGCCCUCCACUGCCUACCCAGUCUCCAUCCACUGACUCCCAGUGCCUCUCAGGCUCUUACAGUAUAUCCCAUUACCUCCCAUUAUGGACCAAUAUGAACCAAUCAGCCUCCACUAUCUUCCCAGUACCCUCCCAGCACCUCUCAGUGACCUCCCAGUACAUCCCAGUGCCUCCCAGUCCCUCUUAGGACAUGGCCUGUUCUAUGUCCAUCGCCCAGUUUCCCGGUAUGUUAGCUUUUCUUCCAAGACAUCCAAAGCCCUCCUCACCCCUCUCAGCACCCUCCCAGUAUAUUCCAGUGUCCUUCCAGUUUGUACAAGUCUCUCAAAUCCCCUCCAUUCCCAUUAGAGAGCCCCAAUCCCCCCAGGGCUCUGCCAACACCCCCACCAAUGCCUCCCAGUGCCUCCCAGUACACCCAGUUCCUAGGUGCGCCUGGACACGGAGCGGGGUCCCCUGGCCCUGGCCCUUGCCAGCCCUUCUGCUGCCGCCUGCCUGGCCCGGGAGCUGGGAGCCGCCCUGGGGCGGGCCCUGCCCUGUGCCCCCCCCGUGUGAGCCAUACUUGGGAUAUGCUGGGAGAGGGUUGGGGUAGGCGGUGGGGGGGACAGGGAGGGGAGUGGGAGGCAUUAGGAGAGGGCGGAAGGGGAAGGGAAGGGAUUUGGGAUAUAGCGGGAGCAGUCUGGGGAGGGAUUAGAUGGCACUGGGUUAUACUGGGAUGAACUGGGCGGGGUCUGGGGGCACUAGGAUGUACAGGGAGGG
Molecule: long non-coding RNA, 2014 nt
Organism: Meleagris gallopavo (turkey)
Lineage: Eukaryota; Metazoa; Chordata; Aves; Galliformes; Phasianidae
Source: Ensembl